CUCCGAAGCGAUCUAGAGGGAGCUUGCUCCCAAAGAUUAGCGGCGGACGGGUGAUUAACACGUGGGCAACCUGCCUGUAAAACUGGGAUAACUCCGGGAAACCGGGGCUAAUACCGGAUAAUAUCUAUUUAUACAUAUAAUUAGAUUGAAAGAUGGUUCUGCUAUCACUUACAGAUGGGCCCGCGGCGCAUUAGCUAGUUGGUGAGGUAACGGCUCACCAAGGCGACAAUGCGUACCCAACCUGAGAGGGUGAUCGGCCACACUGGGACUGAGACACGGCCCAAACUCCUACGGGAGGCAGCAGUAGGGAAUCUUCCGCAAUGGACGAAAGUCUGACGGAGCAACGCCGCGUGAGUGAUGAAGGUUUUCGGAUCGUAAAACUCUGUUGUUAGGGAAAAACAAGUACCGGAGUAACUGCCGGUACCUUGACGGUACCUAACCAAAAAGCCACGGCUAACUACGUGCCAGCAGCCGCGGUAAUACGUAGGUGGCAAGCGUUGUCCGGAAUUAUUGGGCGUAAAGCGCGCGCAGGCGGUUCUUUAAGUCUGAUGUGAAAGCCCACGGCUCAACCGUGGAGGGUCAUUGGAAACUGGGGAACUUGAGUGCAAAAAAGGAAAGUGGAAUUCCAAGUGUAGCGGUGAAAUGCGUAGAGAUUUGGAGGAACACCAGUGGCGAAGGCGACUUUCUGGUCUGUAACUGACGCUGAGGCGCGAAAGCGUGGGGAGCAACAGGAUUAAAUACCCUGGUAGUCCACGCCGUAAACGAUGAGUGCUAGUGUUAGAGGGUUUCCGCCCUUUAGUGCUGCAGCAACGCAUUAGCACUCCGCUGGGGAGUCCACCGCAGGUUGAACUCAAGGAAUUGACGGGGCCCGCACAGCGGUGGAGCAGGUGUUAAUUCGAACCACGCGAAAACCUUACAGGUCUGACUCCUCUGACAUCCUAGAAAAAGACUUCCCUUCGGGGACAAAUGACAGUUGUGCAUGUUGUCUCACUCGUGUCGGA
This 1001-nucleotide ribosomal RNA is filed under the name Cytobacillus kochii. RNAcentral describes it as "bacterial SSU rRNA". It matches the Rfam family "Bacterial small subunit ribosomal RNA", at positions 60 to 1069 of the family's 1533-position model. Lineage: Bacteria; Bacillati; Bacillota; Bacilli; Caryophanales; Bacillaceae. The record is from RNAcentral.